ACGGAAGGCAGCAGUGGGGAAUAUUGGGCAAUGGGGGAAACCCUGACCCAGCAACGCCGCGUGAAGGAAGAAGGCCUUCGGGUUGUAGACUUCUUUUACCAGGGACGAUAAUGACGGUACCUGGAGAAAAAGCAACGGCUAACUACGUGCCAGCAGCCGCGGUAAUACGUAGGUUGCAAGCGUUGUCCGGAUUUACUGGGUGUAAAGGGCGUGUAGGCGGAGCUGCAAGUCAGAUGUGAAAUCCCGGGGCUCAACCCCGGAACUGCAUUUGAAACUGUAGCCCUUGAGUAUCGGAGAGGCAAGCGGAAUUCCUAGUGUAGCGGUGAAAUGCGUAGAUAUUAGGAGGAACACCAGAGGCGAAGGCGGCUUGCUGGACGACAACUGACGCUGAGGCGCGAGAGCGUGGGGAGCAAACAGGAUUAGAUACCCUGGUA
Molecule: ribosomal RNA, 434 nt
Filed under: uncultured Oscillospiraceae bacterium
Lineage: Bacteria; Bacillati; Bacillota; Clostridia; Eubacteriales; Oscillospiraceae
Description: partial 16S ribosomal RNA
Rfam family: Bacterial small subunit ribosomal RNA
Source: RNAcentral